This 369-nucleotide ribosomal RNA is filed under the name Bacillus sp. (in: firmicutes). RNAcentral's name for it is "bacterial SSU rRNA". It matches the Rfam family "Bacterial small subunit ribosomal RNA", at positions 961 to 1331 of the family's 1533-position model. The record is from RNAcentral. Lineage: Bacteria; Bacillati; Bacillota; Bacilli; Caryophanales; Bacillaceae.
GCGAAGAACCUUACCAGGUCUUGACAUCCUCUGACAACCCUAGAGAUAGGGCUUUCCCUUCGGGGACAGAGUGACAGGUGGUGCAUGGUUGUCGUCAGCUCGUGUCGUGAGAUGUUGGGUUAAGUCCCGCAACGAGCGCAACCCUUGAUCUUAGUUGCCAGCAUUYAGUUGGGCACUCUAAGGUGACUGCCGGUGACAAACCGGAGGAAGGUGGGGAUGACGUCAAAUCAUCAUGCCCCUUAUGACCUGGGCUACACACGUGCUACAAUGGACAGAACAAAGGGSUGCGAGACCGCAAGGUUUAGCCAAUCCCACAAAUCUGUWCWCRGUUCGGAUCGCAGUCUGCAACUCGACUGCGUGAAGCUGGAA